GAUGAACGCUAGCGGCAGGCCUAACACAUGCAAGUCGAGGGGUAGUUACUUUCGGGUAAUGAGACCGGCGCACGGGUGCGUAACGCGUAUGCAAUCUACCUUUUACAGGGGAAUAGCCCAGAGAAAUUUGGAUUAAUGCCCCAUAGUAUGUAUGAAUCGCAUGGUUUAUAUAUUAAAGUUCCAACGGUAAAAGAUGAGCAUGCGUCCCAUUAGUUAGUUGGUAAGGUAACGGCUUACCAAGACUAUGAUGGGUAGGGGUCCUGAGAGGGAGAUCCCCCCACACUGGUACUGAGACACGGACCAGACUCCUACGGGAGGCAGCAGUGAGGAAUAUUGGACAAUGGGCGCAAGCCUGAUCCAGCCAUGCCGCGUGCAGGAAGAAGCAUCUAUGGUGUGUAAACUGCUUUUGUACAGGAAGAAACACUCCCUCGUGAGGGAGCUUGACGGUACUGUAAGAAUAAGGAUCGGCUAACUCCGUGCCAGCAG
This 486-nucleotide ribosomal RNA is filed under the name uncultured bacterium. Its description in RNAcentral is "bacterial SSU rRNA". It matches the Rfam family "Bacterial small subunit ribosomal RNA", at positions 28 to 514 of the family's 1533-position model. The record is from RNAcentral.